GGUGCCAUACCCAAGUGGUAAGGGAAAGGUCUGCAAAACCUUGAUACAUCGGUUCGAAUCCGAUUGGCACCUCUA
Molecule: transfer RNA, 75 nt
Filed under: Sphaerochaeta sp.
Lineage: Bacteria; Pseudomonadati; Spirochaetota; Spirochaetia; Spirochaetales; Sphaerochaetaceae
Description: tRNA-Cys
Rfam family: tRNA
About the family: Transfer RNA (tRNA) molecules are approximately 80 nucleotides in length.
Source: RNAcentral